AUGGCAGAAAGCAGAAGCGCCGGGAAAGACAGCUGGCGGUUUACGCCGGGCCGCCUUACGAGCAUGAGAGACUACCAGUUUUCGUCUCCCUCAGUCGGAAUGGUCUACCUAGGAUCAUUCCUUCAUUUCACCGUAAGACUCUUGGCGAGUUCUGCUUCUUCUUCUUCCCUCAGAUUCGGCAUAGCCUUCUUCAGAUUAUUCAUCCUUGUCUUCGUCUCUGUCUACCAGAUCGGAUCCAAUCAAAGCUGUUCGUCCCCCUUCUCGACGUUCCCGGAGGGUGGCUCUUCACUUGGUGUUCACUAUUCUAAGGUCUUGGCACUAACAAUGGCACAGACUUUCACUUCGACUUAG
Molecule: long non-coding RNA, 351 nt
Filed under: Vicia faba (fava bean)
Lineage: Eukaryota; Viridiplantae; Streptophyta; Magnoliopsida; Fabales; Fabaceae
Source: RNAcentral